RNAcentral lists this ribosomal RNA (2933 nucleotides) under Escherichia coli. RNAcentral's name for it is "23S ribosomal RNA". It matches the Rfam family "Bacterial large subunit ribosomal RNA". Lineage: Bacteria; Pseudomonadati; Pseudomonadota; Gammaproteobacteria; Enterobacterales; Enterobacteriaceae. The record is from RNAcentral.
GGGUUGUGAGGUUAAGCGACUAAGCGUACACGGUGGAUGCCCUGGCAGUCAGAGGCGAUGAAGGACGUGCUAAUCUGCGAUAAGCGUCGGUAAGGUGAUAUGAACCGUUAUAACCGGCGAUUUCCGAAUGGGGAAACCCAGUGUGAUUCGUCACACUAUCAUUAACUGAAUCCAUAGGUUAAUGAGGCGAACCGGGGGAACUGAAACAUCUAAGUACCCCGAGGAAAAGAAAUCAACCGAGAUUCCCCCAGUAGCGGCGAGCGAACGGGGAGCAGCCCAGAGCCUGAAUCAGUGUGUGUGUUAGUGGAAGCGUCUGGAAAGGCGCGCGAUACAGGGUGACAGCCCCGUACACAAAAAUGCACAUGCUGUGAGCUCGAUGAGUAGGGCGGGACACGUGGUAUCCUGUCUGAAUAUGGGGGGACCAUCCUCCAAGGCUAAAUACUCCUGACUGACCGAUAGUGAACCAGUACCGUGAGGGAAAGGCGAAAAGAACCCCGGCGAGGGGAGUGAAAAAGAACCUGAAACCGUGUACGUACAAGCAGUGGGAGCACAGAGCAAUCUGUGUGACUGCGUACCUUUUGUAUAAUGGGUCAGCGACUUAUAUUCUGUAGCAAGGUUAACCGAAUAGGGGAGCCGAAGGGAAACCGAGUCUUAACUGGGCGUUAAGUUGCAGGGUAUAGACCCGAAACCCGGUGAUCUAGCCAUGGGCAGGUUGAAGGUUGGGUAACACUAACUGGAGGACCGAACCGACUAAUGUUGAAAAAUUAGCGGAUGACUUGUGGCUGGGGGUGAAAGGCCAAUCAAACCGGGAGAUAGCUGGUUCUCCCCGAAAGCUAUUUAGGUAGCGCCUCGUGAAUUCAUCUCCGGGGGUAGAGCACUGUUUCGGCAAGGGGGUCAUCCCGACUUACCAACCCGAUGCAAACUGCGAAUACCGGAGAAUGUUAUCACGGGAGACACACGGCGGGUGCUAACGUCCGUCGUGAAGAGGGAAACAACCCAGACCGCCAGCUAAGGUCCCAAAGUCAUGGUUAAGUGGGAAACGAUGUGGGAAGGCCCAGACAGCCAGGAUGUUGGCUUAGAAGCAGCCAUCAUUUAAAGAAAGCGUAAUAGCUCACUGGUCGAGUCGGCCUGCGCGGAAGAUGUAACGGGGCUAAACCAUGCACCGAAGCUGCGGCAGCGACGCUUAUGCGUUGUUGGGUAGGGGAGCGUUCUGUAAGCCUGUGAAGGUGUACUGUGAGGUAUGCUGGAGGUAUCAGAAGUGCGAAUGCUGACAUAAGUAACGAUAAAGCGGGUGAAAAGCCCGCUCGCCGGAAGACCAAGGGUUCCUGUCCAACGUUAAUCGGGGCAGGGUGAGUCGACCCCUAAGGCGAGGCCGAAAGGCGUAGUCGAUGGGAAACAGGUUAAUAUUCCUGUACUUGGUGUUACUGCGAAGGGGGGACGGAGAAGGCUAUGUUGGCCGGGCGACGGUUGUCCCGGUUUAAGCGUGUAGGCUGGUUUUCCAGGCAAAUCCGGAAAAUCAAGGCUGAGGCGUGAUGACGAGGCACUACGGUGCUGAAGCAACAAAUGCCCUGCUUCCAGGAAAAGCCUCUAAGCAUCAGGUAACAUCAAAUCGUACCCCAAACCGACACAGGUGGUCAGGUAGAGAAUACCAAGGCGCUUGAGAGAACUCGGGUGAAGGAACUAGGCAAAAUGGUGCCGUAACUUCGGGAGAAGGCACGCUGAUAUGUAGGUGAAGCGACUUGCUCGUGGAGCUGAAAUCAGUCGAAGAUACCAGCUGGCUGCAACUGUUUAUUAAAAACACAGCACUGUGCAAACACGAAAGUGGACGUAUACGGUGUGACGCCUGCCCGGUGCCGGAAGGUUAAUUGAUGGGGUCAGCGCAAGCGAAGCUCUUGAUCGAAGCCCCGGUAAACGGCGGCCGUAACUAUAACGGUCCUAAGGUAGCGAAAUUCCUUGUCGGGUAAGUUCCGACCUGCACGAAUGGCGUAAUGAUGGCCAGGCUGUCUCCACCCGAGACUCAGUGAAAUUGAACUCGCUGUGAAGAUGCAGUGUACCCGCGGCAAGACGGAAAGACCCCGUGAACCUUUACUAUAGCUUGACACUGAACAUUGAGCCUUGAUGUGUAGGAUAGGUGGGAGGCUUUGAAGUGUGGACGCCAGUCUGCAUGGAGCCGACCUUGAAAUACCACCCUUUAAUGUUUGAUGUUCUAACGUGGACCCGUAAUCCGGGUUGCGGACAGUGUCUGGUGGGUAGUUUGACUGGGGCGGUCUCCUCCUAAAGAGUAACGGAGGAGCACGAAGGUUGGCUAAUCCUGGUCGGACAUCAGGAGGUUAGUGCAAUGGCAUAAGCCAGCUUGACUGCGAGCGUGACGGCGCGAGCAGGUGCGAAAGCAGGUCAUAGUGAUCCGGUGGUUCUGAAUGGAAGGGCCAUCGCUCAACGGAUAAAAGGUACUCCGGGGAUAACAGGCUGAUACCGCCCAAGAGUUCAUAUCGACGGCGGUGUUUGGCACCUCGAUGUCGGCUCAUCACAUCCUGGGGCUGAAGUAGGUCCCAAGGGUAUGGCUGUUCGCCAUUUAAAGUGGUACGCGAGCUGGGUUUAGAACGUCGUGAGACAGUUCGGUCCCUAUCUGCCGUGGGCGCUGGAGAACUGAGGGGGGCUGCUCCUAGUACGAGAGGACCGGAGUGGACGCAUCACUGGUGUUCGGGUUGUCAUGCCAAUGGCACUGCCCGGUAGCUAAAUGCGGAAGAGAUAAGUGCUGAAAGCAUCUAAGCACGAAACUUGCCCCGAGAUGAGUUCUCCCUGACUCCUUGAGAGUCCUGAAGGAACGUUGAAGACGACGACGUUGAUAGGCCGGGUGUGUAAGCGCAGCGAUGCGUUGAGCUAACCGGUACUAAUGAACCGUGAGGCUUAACCUUACAACGCCGAAGGUGUUU